RNAcentral lists this ribosomal RNA (130 nucleotides) under Stenotrophomonas maltophilia. Its description in RNAcentral is "partial 16S ribosomal RNA". It matches the Rfam family "Bacterial small subunit ribosomal RNA", at positions 1 to 123 of the family's 1533-position model. The record is from RNAcentral. Lineage: Bacteria; Pseudomonadati; Pseudomonadota; Gammaproteobacteria; Lysobacterales; Lysobacteraceae.
UAAGUGAAGAGUUUGAUCCUGGCUCAGAGUGAACGCUGGCGGUAGGCCUAACACAUGCAAGUCGAACGGCAGCACAGGAGAGCUUGCUCUCUGGGUGGCGAGUGGCGGACGGGUGAGGAAUACAUCGGAA